UCAUUUUGGGAUUUCUUUAAAGUCAAGAUGAGAUGCUCACUUGCCAUAGCUGAGCAUCUGCAGUAGGUAAAGGAUGCUCAUGCACUCCACAGGCCUGCAGUGACUGACAUCCUACCAAGCACCUGGGUGUCCUCUGAAAGUUGUGCAGAACUUUCCUACCAUGUCUUUCCCACCAAGGCUGGCUGACAUGACAGCAAGUACUGGAUAUGUUAUUUGGGGAUUUUUGAAUGCAAGGCUUUAUAAACGAGACGAGUAACAAAUCCUCUUGUUGAGGAAGGUUGUUCCCUGUAACAUAUUUCCUCUGAGACUCUGGAAGUUUUGUUCAAAAUUCAGCUGUCCGUAUUUAUUAUAGGGAAUGGUUGCAACCCCAGCCGUGAGGCACAAGAAGAGGUGCUGGUGCUAACAUGGAAGCCAGAGCUUGUGUCUGCCAGGAGGCGGGCGUAGUCAGGUCCACUUUGGAGCAUGCUGUUGUUGGCACUGAGCUCAGGAGAGCCCAGAACAUGGCGUUGUGUGCUGCGUGUCCCAGCCCCAAAAGAUUCCGUUGUGGAGGAACGGAGAGGGUGAAGGAGGCUGAGGGCCCUUUUGUCGGGGCCGGCUCCUCCGUGGCCUUUUGCUUGCCGGAGAGAAGGGCUGCCCGCUGGACACAGGGAAUGCCUUCUAGCUGCCGUCCCGUGCCCUGUCCUCCAGCCCCCUCCUCAUCCUGUGUGGAACGCCAGUGCCAGCAGUGCGGCUGCCAUUUUAGAACCUUUGCCAGUCACAGCUGUCACCUUGGUCACCGCUGCCCCGGACAACACACUCGCCUCUGAGAGCUCUGGCAGCCAUGUCAGGAGCAAAGAGAGCGAGGGGCGAAAGUUGCCCUAUUUUAAAUGGGAAGAGGGAGCUUGGGUUCCCAGAAGCGAAGAGGAGGAGGGGGCCCGCCUUGACCAUCAAGCGGAGGACGAAUGAAAAGAGAGUCCGUUUCCAUCGCGCCUGGACCGGCGCUGUGACCACCACCGUGGAGCCCAUGGAGGUGGAUCCACCUCUGCAGGAGCCCAUGGAGGUGGAUCCACCUCUGGAGGAGCCCAUGGAGGUGGAUCCGCCUGCGGCACAGCUGGCCUGGCACCACACCACCGUGCCAGGCCCCGCAUUGGCGCUGUCACAGCUUUACCAUCGCUGGUCCAGGCGCUCGGCUCCUUACCCGCUGCGCGGCCCCCGCCCCCAGCAUUAGCUGGGUGGCAUUAAUUAACAUCUGCUCCUCCUUCGAGCCUCCUCUGGAGCCAAAUUCUGUGAGCUCCCCUUCCCAUUUAAAUGCUGCAGGAGUUAUAUUUCAGUUCUUGUUUCUGUUGUUGAUUUUAGUGUUUAGUUUUAGUGUUAGGAGUAGAUUAUUGUUCGUAUUUUAGAGUUAGGCAUAGGUUACUUUUAGUAUUUUAGUGUUAGGCAUAGUUACUGUUCUUAUUUUAGAGUUAGGCAUAGGUUCCUGUUCUUAUUUUAGAGUUAGGCAUAGGUUACUCUUAGUCUUUUAGUGUUAGGCAUAGGUUAUUGUUCAUACUUCAGAGAUAGGGGUAGAUUGCUCCUAUCAACUGGAAGUUAGCAGUGCUCACUCGACUGUCGAUGAGCGGAGUCUGAGUGUCAGUGAAAUUAAUUUGGGACUCAGAAGAACAAUAUCUAAUUGUGUCACAAAUGUCCUGCGUGGCCACUGCAAGAGAUGUCCUCUUAUACGACAUAUCCCAUCAGUAACUCCUCCAUACCUGAAGAUUUUCCAAUUACAUAACCACCUCAGGAAGCAGAAGAAUAAGACCUGGGAUUGCACCUCUGAUGCAAUGAGCUGCAGCAUGACCAGGAAGGUCGAUCCAUUGCCCACCAAAAAUCACCUUCUGCUCACCAGGACAUCAAACCUCGCAGCAUCCUCAUACAAUGAGAACCUUUUGCUGGAUCCCCACCUGGGAGCAAGUUUUUGCUGAUUGAGAAGCUCAUGAGAUACAUCUAAUUUCCCUGGAGGUCCUCGGGGAAGCAGUGGUCAGACAAUCCUUUCCUAGCCUGCUUUGGGCAACGCUGGUGGUACAGCACUGCUGGCACUGCAUGUGGGCUGCUGUGCUGAUACUGGGCUCCUCGGGCAGAGUGAGAUUCAGCCUUCAGUGUUACAGCAGUCAUUAUUGCAAAGGAGCAGUUUGGGAACAAACUGUCAUCACAAACAUCUGUGAUGGUCACAGAUACUGAACCAACUGGAUAAAGCACCAGUCUAAUACAUUUCCGUGAAGAGUUUCAAAGUUGGUGUUUCCCAGAGGAAAAAAUAUAGGAGCACACUUUUCAUCUCAUUCCACUUGACCCAGCAGACCAAGCUGGGCUCCAGGAGUUACACACAUCUGAAAUGAGCUGUGAGGUGCAGCCAUGCUCUCCCUGUCACUCAGGAAGCCCACUGCCAGGGCACAGCUGUGGGACAGGAGCUGAUGCCCGUGCCCAGCUGAUGAAGUGAAGGGACUGUGAGCUGCUGGCUCUGAAGUAAAAACAAUCACUCUGAAAUCUCAGAGCUUCCUCAGAAAUGUAAAAAAAUGGGGUGGGAGCACAAGUUAAUUGUGCUUUUACACACUGUUAUACUUGUCACCGUGCCAGACUCUACAUUUCUUCCAAGGGUGAAAUGAAAACUCCAAAUUCAUGUGGUUAUGAAACAAUUUCAGUAUGAGCACUCAGUGAAGAAUUAUAAAGUGGGAAAGACACAGUCCUGUGUCUCAGCUGCUUGAGAAGGCACUGAAUUGAUCAAGGCAUCUUCCAGCUUAGAGGAGUUUUCUGGAGUGUACUGAAAACAUUCUGCAUCUGCAUAUUGAAUGCGUAUAAAGAACUGCAGAAAAGCUGAUGUGAUAUGACAUUACUUUGAUUAGGAGAUGAGACAACUGGCAGAAGGCAUCGUUAUUCCAAGAAGUCUCAUUUCUCUGCAUCUAGAAAUUUAGGAAAUGAGUCUGGUUUGCCUGCUUUACACCAGAAUAGACUCAUACACUGCAAAUAUGGCAAGAACUCACUGGCACUAUAGGGUAAUCCUGGAGAUAAGAUCCUGGUGGGAGACCGGGAUGAGCAAGGACUGAACACCUUUUUCUCUGCCUACAGUGUAUGGUGACUGUUGAGUCACGGCCUGAACCACUGAUUGAUCACCUGAGGCAAGGACUGGGUCAGCCAUGGGGUACAG
Meleagris gallopavo (turkey) is the source of this 3157-nucleotide non-coding RNA. Lineage: Eukaryota; Metazoa; Chordata; Aves; Galliformes; Phasianidae. The record is from RefSeq and is a predicted model, not a curated record.